This 443-nucleotide ribosomal RNA is filed under the name uncultured bacterium. Its description in RNAcentral is "partial 16S ribosomal RNA". It matches the Rfam family "Bacterial small subunit ribosomal RNA", at positions 338 to 795 of the family's 1533-position model. The record is from RNAcentral.
CCUACGGGUGGCAGCAGUGGGGAAUAUUGGGCAAUGGGCGCAAGCCUGACCCAGCAACGCCGCGUGAAGGAAGAAGGCUUUCGGGUUGUAAACUUCUUUUCUGAGGGACGAAGAAAGUGACGGUACCUCAGGACUAAGCCACGGCUAAAUACGUGCCAGCAGCCGCGGUAAUACGUAGGUGGCAAGCGUAAUCCGGAUUUAUGGGGUGUAAAGGGCGGGGAGGCGGGAAAGCAAGGCAGAUGGGAAAACUCAGGGCUCAACCCUUAGCCUGCAUUUGAAACUGUUUUUCUUGAGUGCUGGAGGGGCAAUCGGAAUUCCGUGUGUAGCGGUGAAAUGCGUAGAGAUACGGAGGAACACCAGUGGCGAAGGCGGAUUGCUGGACAGUAACUGACGCUGAGGCGCGAAAGCGUGGGGAGCAAACAGGAUUAGAUACCCGGGUAGUC